GUGGGGAAUCUUAGACAAUGGGGGCAACCCUGAUCUAGCCAUGCCGCGUGAGUGAUGAAGGCCUUAGGGUUGUAAAGCUCUUUCAGUGGGGAAGAUAAUGACGGUACCCACAGAAGAAGCCCCGGCUAACUUCGUGCCAGCAGCCGCGGUAAUACGAGGGGGGCUAGCGUUGUUCGGAUUUACUGGGCGUAAAGAGCACGUAGGCGGAUUGGUCAGUUAGAGGUGAAAUCCCGAAGCUCAACUUCGGAACUGCCUUUAAUACUGCCAGUCUCGAGUCCGGAAGAGGUGAGUGGAACUCCUAGUGUAGAGGUGGAAUUCGUAGAUAUUAGGAAGAACACCAGUGGCGAAGGCGGCUCACUGGUCCGGUACUGACGCUGAGGUGCGAAAGCGUGGGGAGCAAACAGGAUUAGAUACCCCGGUAGUCC
Molecule: ribosomal RNA, 425 nt
Filed under: uncultured bacterium
Lineage: Bacteria
Description: partial 16S ribosomal RNA
Rfam family: Bacterial small subunit ribosomal RNA
Source: RNAcentral